UAAGCUUGGGACUAGUAACCAUUUGAGUUGGGCAUGGCUUACAAGACGCCAUAUAAGUUUUAUGAAAAGGAUCAUUGAGAUACUUAGUCUGACACAGUGAAUAAGCAGAAGAGCCAAGCUUAGCAACCUCAAUACCCAAGUGUUGGGAACUUAGUGAAAUAUCAUUGCCCUAGUUUUGAUGAUACCAAAAUCCUUAAGCUGUCUUUGUAAUAGAGUAGAACUUUUUGAACUCAAGUGUUGGAGUUCUUUUUCUAGUUUAGCUAGUGUUCUGAAGACUGAAGACCUGAAGAUUGAAGACCGGAGGACUGAAGACUGAAGAUUGAAGUAUUCAGCUGAUGUUGCGAUUAAAGGCAGAGUCAAACACUGAUAUUUGACUGACCAAGUUUCUCAACUGAAGGAUCAGUUAUAACCGAUUCAUCAAUGCUGGCC
RNAcentral lists this long non-coding RNA (429 nucleotides) under Salvia miltiorrhiza (redroot sage). Its description in RNAcentral is "long non-coding RNA (SMIL_LNC004516)". The record is from RNAcentral. Lineage: Eukaryota; Viridiplantae; Streptophyta; Magnoliopsida; Lamiales; Lamiaceae.